AAAAAAAUUAAAAUUUUCAAAGGAUAAACUUAGAAAUGUGCUAUUUUGGUCAUUUUAGUUUUGGAGUGCUAUUUUUGUGAUAUAAACGUAGAAAUGUGCUAUUUUGGAGAUUUACCCAUUGUAAUUUGAAAGUUGGUGGUUUUGUACUUGGACUUUAAGCUGGACGAGAGCUAUACACCCAGUAAGAUCUAUUCGUGCUGGUGAUGGCUUUCAUAACUUAAAGGUAAUCCUUUUUUUGUUAACAAAGAAGAGAUUUUUUUUUAAAUUUAUUUCUUCUAGUUUGUGAUGUGGGUUGAUUGAUGCUUCUUGUUGUUGUCUGCUUCUCUUCAUUUGUUUAGGAGAUGAAAAGUGUGGAACUUGUAAAGCCAUCUGGUUGGGUUUGUGUAUCUAUGUCUGGAUCUGAUCCACCGGAUACAUUUGUCAAUACAUUCAUGUUGCAGAUAUCCAUUUUGUCAAACCACCUCAACGGCCCUAGACCGUGCGUAUGCCUUUUCGAUUGCAGGAAUCGUAUUCCGCGCCAACCAUUUCAGUUUACUUCAACGGAGUUUCUCACUUAUUCCACACUGAGAUGAGAAAGUUUAAUUGUGAAAGAUUAUAUGUUGUUGUGUAAAGCUUUCUGUUUAUAUAUUACGUUGGAUACAACAAUCAUUACAUUCAUUAAAGCUUAUCCACCGAAGAGCCC
Molecule: long non-coding RNA, 682 nt
Organism: Brassica napus (rape)
Lineage: Eukaryota; Viridiplantae; Streptophyta; Magnoliopsida; Brassicales; Brassicaceae
Exons: 2
Source: RefSeq, a predicted model, not a curated record